RNAcentral lists this ribosomal RNA (253 nucleotides) under uncultured bacterium. Its description in RNAcentral is "partial 16S ribosomal RNA". It matches the Rfam family "Bacterial small subunit ribosomal RNA", at positions 524 to 776 of the family's 1533-position model. The record is from RNAcentral.
UACAGGGGGGGCAAGCGUUGUUCGGAAUUACUGGGCGUAAAGGGCUCGUAGGCGGCCAACUAAGUCAAACGUGAAAUCCCCAGGCUUAACCUGGGAACUGCGUGUGAUACUGGAUGGCUUGAAUUCGGGAGAGGGAUGCAGAAUUCCAGGUGUAGCGGUGAAAUGCGUAGAUAUCUGGAGGAAUACCGGUGGCGAAGGCGGCAUCCUGGACCGACAUUGACGCUGAUGAGCGAAAGCUAGGGGAGCAAACGGG